This 29-nucleotide non-coding RNA is filed under the name Homo sapiens (human). The record is from RNAcentral. Lineage: Eukaryota; Metazoa; Chordata; Mammalia; Primates; Hominidae.
UCCACAGCACCUUCAAUGGAUGGUUUUCU